RNAcentral lists this ribosomal RNA (254 nucleotides) under uncultured bacterium. Its description in RNAcentral is "partial 16S ribosomal RNA". It matches the Rfam family "Bacterial small subunit ribosomal RNA", at positions 524 to 776 of the family's 1533-position model. The record is from RNAcentral.
CACGUAGGGUGCGAGCGUUGUCCGGAAUUAUUGGGCGUAAAGAGCUCGUAGGCGGUGUGUCGCGUCGGCCGUGAAAACCUGCAGCUUAACUGUGGGCUUGCGGUCGAUACGGGCAUCACUGGAGUUCGGCAGGGGAGACUGGAAUUCCUGGUGUAGCGGUGAAAUGCGCAGAUAUCAGGAGGAACACCAGUGGCGAAGGCGGUGCUCUGGGCCGGAACUGACGCUGAGGAGCGAAAGCGUGGGGAGCAAACAGG